RNAcentral lists this ribosomal RNA (424 nucleotides) under uncultured bacterium. RNAcentral describes it as "partial 16S ribosomal RNA". It matches the Rfam family "Bacterial small subunit ribosomal RNA", at positions 360 to 776 of the family's 1533-position model. The record is from RNAcentral.
AAUAUUUGACAAUGGGCGAAAGCCUGAUCCAGCCAUGCCGCGCGUGUGAAGAAGGUCUUCGGAUUGUAUAGCACUCUAAGUUGGGAGGAAGGGAUGUAGUUCAAUUCUUUGCAAUUUUGACGUUACCGACAGAAUAAGCACCGGCCAACUUCGUGCGUGCAGCCGCGGUAAUACGAAGGGUGCAAGCGUUAAUCGGAAUUACUGGGCGUAAAGCGCGCGUAGGUGGUUCGUUAAGUUAGAUGUGAAAGCCCCGGGCUCAACCUGGGAACUGCAUCCAAAACUGGCGGGCUAGAGUACGGUAGAGGGUGGUAGAAUUUCAUGUGUAGCGGUGAAAUGCGUAGAUAUAGGAAGGAACACCAGUGGCGAAGGCAACCACCUGGACUGAUACUGACACUGAGGUGCGAAAGCGUGGGGAGCAAACAGG